RNAcentral lists this transfer RNA (72 nucleotides) under Pyrinioides aurea. RNAcentral describes it as "tRNA-Ala". Lineage: Eukaryota; Metazoa; Arthropoda; Insecta; Lepidoptera; Thyrididae. The record is from RNAcentral.
AGGAUUAUAGUUUAAAUUAAUUAAAACAUUUAUUUUGCAAUUAAAAAAUAUUGAAAUAUUCAAUUUAUCUUA